AGGUAGGUUUUUGUUAGCCCAAGCCUUUAUUUGUUGAGGGGAAAGAACCCCCAGUGGGUAGUGAAAUAGAACGUGAAACCGUGCUGAGCUCCCAAGCAGUGGGAGGGGAAAGUGAUCUCUGACCGCAUGCCUGUUGAAGAAUGAGCCGGCGACUCAUAGGCAGUGGCUUGGUUAAGGGAACGGAACCCACCGGAGCCGUAGCGAAAGCAAGUCUUAAUAGGGCGAUUAUCACUGCUUAUGGACCCGAACCUGGGUGAUCUAUCCAUGACCAGGAUGAAGCUUGGAUGAAACUAAGCAGAGGUCUGUACCGACUGAUGUUGAAGAAUCAGCGGAUGAGUUGUGGUUAGGGGUGAAAUGCCACUCGAACCCAGAGCUAGCUGGUUCUCCCCGAAAUGCGUUGAGGCGCAGCAGUUGACUGGACAUCUAGGGGUAAAGCACUGUUCUUGGAUUACCUCUAGAGAUAGCAAUAAAGCUUUUUCAGCUAUUUGUAAUUCGCGAUUUAAUCACGAAAAGCUCCACUUCUAAUGUAAGGAUUGCUAAAAGGAAAAUUUGGGCUCAUCCGUGGUGGCAUCCUCGAUGGCACCAUCAGUAGUGUCAUCCCCGACGCCACUAGGGGUUGUUUAGUCGGGAUCGGUGUCUUCCGCGUCGUCCACAUAGCGGUGAGGUUCUUCCUCCAUCUCCUAGGACAGCUCCCAGAAUUGCUUGCCCGAACCGCCGGCCUCAUCGUUGUUGGCCAUGUUCGCUCUAAAUAGGAAAAAAGGCUACUAGAGUUAUUUCUUAAAUACAGUCUAGGAAAAAAUAAAUCCACAAGUCAAUAUAUCAGGACCCAUCACAUCUUCAUAGACUCGAUGGGGCCUCAAAUGCCCUUCCUCAUCUACAACUAGUUGUCCGCCUCAAUCGAUGGAUUUUCUCACAUUUUUCUGAUUCAAACUAGAUUUCGAUGGCUGUUAGGUUAUUCGGCAUGUAAUCUAAAAUAAUUAGAAAGUAUAGGUUGUUUCUACUGUAAUGCAUUAUUGACUUGUUAUUUGUGAGAACCAAAAGAAAGCCAACUGAUACGUCUCCAACGUAUCUAUAAUUUUUGAUUGCUCCAUGCUAUAUUAUCUACUGUUUUGGACAUUAUUGGGCUUUAUUAUCCACUUUUAUAUUAUUUUUGGGACUAACCUAUUAACCAGAGGCCCAGCCCAGAAUUGCUGUUUUUUUGCCUAUUUUAGGGUUUCGAAGAGAAGGAAUAUCAAACGGAGUCCAAACGGAAUGAAACCUUCGGAAACACGAUUUUCUCAUCAGAUAAGACCCAGGAGACUUGGACCCUCCGUCAAGAAAGCCACGAGGCAGUCACGAGGGUGGAGGGCACCCCCCUAGGGCGCGCCCCCUGCCUCGUGGGCCCCUCGAAGCUCCACCGACGUACUUCUUCCUCCUAUAUAUAUCCACGUACCCCCAAACGAUCAGAUACGGAGCCAAAAACCUAAUUCCACCACCGCAACUUUCUGUAUCCACGAGAUCCCAUCUUGGGGCCUGUUCCGGAGCUCCGCCCGAGGGGGCAUCGAUCACGGAGGGCUUCUACAUCAUCAUCCAAGCCCUUCCGAUGAAGUGUGAGUAGUUUACUUCAGACCUGCGGGUCCAUAGUUAGUAGCUAGAUGGCUUCUUCUCUCUUUUUGGAUCUCAAUACAAUGUUCUCCCCCUCUCUUGUGGAGAUCUAUUCAAUGUAAUAUUCUUUUUGCGGUGUGUUCGUUGAGACCGAUGAAUUGUGGGUUUAUGAUCAAGUCUAUCUAUGAAUAAUAUUUGAAUCUUCUCUGAAUUCUUUUAUGUAUGAUUGGUUAUCUUUGCAAGUCUCUUCGAAUUAUCAGUUUGGUUUGGCCUACUAGAUUGGUUUUUCUUGCCAUGGGAGAAGUGCUUAGCUUUGGGUUCGAUCUUGUGGUGUCCUUUCCC
Molecule: non-coding RNA, 1926 nt
Organism: Triticum aestivum (bread wheat)
Lineage: Eukaryota; Viridiplantae; Streptophyta; Magnoliopsida; Poales; Poaceae
Source: Rfam